RNAcentral lists this ribosomal RNA (371 nucleotides) under uncultured bacterium. RNAcentral describes it as "bacterial SSU rRNA". It matches the Rfam family "Bacterial small subunit ribosomal RNA", at positions 527 to 896 of the family's 1533-position model. The record is from RNAcentral.
GUAGGGUCCGAGCGUUGUCCGGAAUUAUUGGGCGUAAAGGGCUCGUAGGCGGUCCGUCACGUCGGGAGUGAAAACUCAGGGCUCAACCCUGAGCGUGCUUCCGAUACGGGCGGACUAGAGGUAUGCAGGGGAGAACGGAAUUCCUGGUGUAGCGGUGGAAUGCGCAGAUAUCAGGAGGAACACCGGUGGCGAAGGCGGUUCUCUGGGCAUUACCUGACGCUGAGGAGCGAAAGCAUGGGGAGCGAACAGGAUUAGAUACCCUGGUAGUCCAUGCCGUAAACGUUGGGCACUAGGUGUGGGGACCUUCCACGGUUUCCGUGCCGCAGCUAACGCAUUAAGUGCCCCGCCUGGGGAGUACGGCCGCAAGGCUA